Molecule: long non-coding RNA, 1121 nt
Filed under: Salmo salar (Atlantic salmon)
Lineage: Eukaryota; Metazoa; Chordata; Actinopteri; Salmoniformes; Salmonidae
Description: lncRNA (ENSSSAG00000109793.1)
Source: RNAcentral
AGUUCGCGUGGAAAUCGCGGUCUUUUCCUUAUUGCAGUAAAAGUUCUCAGUGAGGGAACAAUACCAUAUCACACUCGUGAUUAUUUCUCCCCUUUUUCAGGGGCGUAACAUUUUUGGAGGCUCCGCUGAGAUUGCUGCUCAGAUGUCCAGUUUCCACAUCCUGCUCGCUGAAUUCCGAGCCAGCUAAAUCCUCACAUAACAACUCAGGCAGGCUGCAGUGAGGAAAGUGUUGCUGUUCGAGGGGAGCUGGAAGUUGGUGGUUAAGUACGUGUCAGCUGAGGCCAUUGAUCGACCAUCAGAGACAGUAAGGACCAUCUAAUUCAGAGUCAACUCCUGCACAGUAAAAGUUCCUCCUGUUCUGUUAACAUGACGACCGCCUUGGAAGAACUACAGGAAGAGGUAGUAGGAGAAUUGCACACCCUGACUAAAGACAAGUUAGUAGAGAUAUGUGAUUUCCUUGACAUCUCAGGCGAACAGAGAAGAGAUGUUCAAGACAAAUCCCGCAUAUCAUUGAUGACUCACAUUAUGAUGUUCCUUGAAAGAGAGGAAGUUGCAGAGUUAGAAGAUGGCGGCAUGUCGGAAUUGUUGCUACUUAAAGACAAAAUGACAGAUAUGAUCAGUGGCAUAGAUCACAAAACAGGGCAAACUGACCAUGAUAUUGAAACAGCCGGAACACAUCACAGAAUAGAGGAACUGAGAACUGCAACCCCACAAUAAGGGGUGGGAACUGAGCAGAUUACUGCAGCCAAAGCCAGUGAUUCAGCCCCAACCCCAUGCUAAUCUUCAGGUGAGCGUGCCGCUCUCACCCAGUGCACAGCCCAGCUCAUACUGGCGCAAAGGGGCUAUUUCUCCAGGCUCACAGCUACGCAGCUACUUGGAAGGCCAGAACAGAUGCACGCUGCACACACUGCUUCCGUUGUGGGAGUGGAGAACAUUUUCAAGCUGGAUGUAAAAUCCGGGGAGUCAGACAAUCAAGAGAGGCCCCUUUAAACGGGGAAGGGUUACCGCUGAGGGACAAGUGUUAACCGUAGCUACCAAAAAGUCCCAGAAAUGUGCAAAUUGUGCCAGAGAAGAUUCAUUUGAGAACCUGAAACAAUGUUCAUCAUGUAAAGAGACACUGU